AUAUAAGCAAAAUUGACUUUUUUAGGCUCAUUCAUUUAAUGAUGUAUGUGGUUUAUAAUAUGGACCACAUACAUCAUUAAAUGAAUGAACCUAAAAAGUCAAUUUUACUUAUAU
MicroRNA precursor from Medicago truncatula (barrel medic), 114 nucleotides. It matches the Rfam family "MIR2593 microRNA precursor family". The record is from Rfam. Lineage: Eukaryota; Viridiplantae; Streptophyta; Magnoliopsida; Fabales; Fabaceae.